UACGGGGGGAGCGAGCGUUGAUCGGAAUUACUGGGCGUAAAGCGUCCGUAGGCGGCUUGUUAAGUCGGAUGUGAAAGCCAUGGGCUUAACCUGGGAACGGCAUUGGAUACUGGCGAGCUAGAGCUCGGUAGAGGGUGGUGGAAUUCCCGGUGUAGCGGUGAAAUGCGUAGAGAUCGGGAGGAACACCGGUGGCGAAGGCGGCCACCUGGACCGAGACUGACGAUGAGGCACGAAAGCGUGGGGAGCAAGCAGG
RNAcentral lists this ribosomal RNA (253 nucleotides) under uncultured bacterium. RNAcentral's name for it is "partial 16S ribosomal RNA". It matches the Rfam family "Bacterial small subunit ribosomal RNA", at positions 524 to 776 of the family's 1533-position model. The record is from RNAcentral.